AACCAGCACCUCAAGUUGUCAGGAGGAUUAUUGGGCCUAAAGCAUCCGUAGCCGGCUCUGUUAGUUUUCGGUUAAAUCCAUAUGCUCAACAUAUGGGCUGUCGGAAAUACUGCAGAGCUAGGGAAUGGGAGAGGUAGACGGUACUCGGUAGGAAGGGGUAAAAUCCUUUGAUCUAUCGAUGAACACCAAUUGCGAAGGCAGUUCACUGGACCGUGAUCGACGCUGAGGAGCGAAAGCUAGGGGAGCAAACAGG
RNAcentral lists this ribosomal RNA (253 nucleotides) under uncultured archaeon. RNAcentral's name for it is "partial 16S ribosomal RNA". It matches the Rfam family "Archaeal small subunit ribosomal RNA", at positions 474 to 727 of the family's 1478-position model. The record is from RNAcentral.